Melospiza melodia melodia is the source of this 257-nucleotide long non-coding RNA. RefSeq lists it as uncharacterized. The record is from RefSeq and is a predicted model, not a curated record. NCBI's taxonomy places the organism in Eukaryota, Metazoa, Chordata, Aves, Passeriformes, Passerellidae. The transcript has 3 exons.
CGGGCGCGGGGCUCCCGGUGAGAGGGGAGCGGCGCGGAGCCCCCCCGGGAGGGCGGCCGGGGGUCGCCAUGGCCACGGACCGCAGGUAGGGCCAUGGCGUCCCCCGAGGGCCCCGCGGGGUCCCCGAGGGCGGAGCCGCAGGCGCUGAGCCCGGACGAGCGCGAGCUGCUGGCCAAGCUGGAGGAGCAGAACCGGCUGCUGGAGGCCGACUCCAAGUCGCUGCGCUCGGUGAACGGCUCUGGGGGCGGCAGCGGCUC